Molecule: ribosomal RNA, 723 nt
Filed under: Streptomyces sp. WRA20
Lineage: Bacteria; Bacillati; Actinomycetota; Actinomycetes; Kitasatosporales; Streptomycetaceae
Description: bacterial SSU rRNA
Rfam family: Bacterial small subunit ribosomal RNA
Source: RNAcentral
AGCUGGCGGCGUGCUUACACAUGCAAGUCGAACGAUGAACCACUUCGGUGGGGAUUAGUGGCGAACGGGUGAGUAACACGUGGGCAAUCUGCCCUUCACUCUGGGACAAGCCCUGGAAACGGGGUCUAAUACCGGAUACCACUACCGCAGGCAUCUGUGGUGGUUGAAAGCUCCGGCGGUGAAGGAUGAGCCCGCGGCCUAUCAGCUUGUUGGUGAGGUAAUGGCUCACCAAGGCGACGACGGGUAGCCGGCCUGAGAGGGCGACCGGCCACACUGGGACUGAGACACGGCCCAGACUCCUACGGGAGGCAGCAGUGGGGAAUAUUGCACAAUGGGCGAAAGCCUGAUGCAGCGACGCCGCGUGAGGGAUGACGGCCUUCGGGUUGUAAACCUCUUUCAGCAGGGAAGAAGCGAAAGUGACGGUACCUGCAGAAGAAGCGCCGGCUAACUACGUGCCAGCAGCCGCGGUAAUACGUAGGGCGCAAGCGUUGUCCGGAAUUAUUGGGCGUAAAGAGCUCGUAGGCGGCUUGUCACGWSGGGUGUGAAAGCCCGGGGCUUAACCCCGGGUCUGCAUUCGAUACGGGCUAGCUAGAGUGUGGUAGGGGAGAUCGGAAUUCCUGGUGUAGCGGUGAAAUGCGCAGAUAUCACGAGGAACACCGGUGGCGAACGCGGAUCUCUGGGCCAUUACUGACGCUGAGGAGCGAAAGCGUGGGGGAGCAACAG